RNAcentral lists this ribosomal RNA (425 nucleotides) under uncultured bacterium. Its description in RNAcentral is "bacterial SSU rRNA". It matches the Rfam family "Bacterial small subunit ribosomal RNA", at positions 354 to 796 of the family's 1533-position model. The record is from RNAcentral.
GUGGGGAAUAUUGCACAAUGGGGGAAACCCUGAUGCAGCGACGCCGCGUGAGCGAUGAAGUAUUUCGGUAUGUAAAGCUCUAUCAGCAGGGAAGAAAGUGACGGUACCUGACUAAGAAGCCCCGGCUAACUACGUGCCAGCAGCCGCGGUAAUACGUAGGGGGCAAGCGUUAUCCGGAUUUACUGGGUGUAAAGGGAGCGUAGACGGGAGAGCAAGUCUGAAGUGAAAGCCCAGGGCUCAACCCUGGGACUGCUUUGGAAACUGUUGACCUAGAGUGCUGGAGAGGUAAGUGGAAUUCCUAGUGUAGCGGUGAAAUGCGUAGAUAUUAGGAGGAACACCAGUGGCGAAGGCGGCUUACUGGACAGUGACUGACGUUGAGGCUCGAAAGCGUGGGGAGCAAACAGGAUUAGAAACCCCGGUAGUCC